Molecule: non-coding RNA, 1373 nt
Organism: Elaeis guineensis (African oil palm)
Lineage: Eukaryota; Viridiplantae; Streptophyta; Magnoliopsida; Arecales; Arecaceae
Source: RefSeq, a predicted model, not a curated record
UUACGAAGUCUGACCUCGGUUGUGCGGUAAUUGUUGAGAACUUUAUGGGCAUUUUGAAAGUCAUCUUCUUCCUCAUUCUCGAUCGUUUUCAAACCUGUGUUCUUCCUACUUUCCACAUGGAGGAUGUGGUAGAACAUCAUGUGAAGCAACGAUUGGUGCUCGUCGGCGGUCGUGGAGGAUGUGUCUUCGUCUCAUUGGUAUUUCUCGAUGGCAUGCGGUGGCUGCCAUGAUGUCGUGGACUUCUCCACCAGAGAGUGUCUUUCAUCCCAUUCGAUUACUGUUCCGAUCAACCAUUCAUUUAAAAAAUACCGUCUCCUACUUUCCACAGACCAACUGUUUGACGAAAUUCCGAGCCACCUUUCGACCAACAAUUUUCUCUAAUUCUUUCGUGAAACAGUCUUGUUCCUCGUGAAUACCACUAGUGACCAUUGGUGGCUGGUUGUGAUUUAUGUACGCAAGAAGGUAUUUCAAAUUUUGAACUCUCUAGAGUGGGUCUCUAUCAAGUAUCCAAGCAUGCUUCAUAAUUGGCGGCUAGGUAUACAAUGCUAUAUGAAUAUGAUAGUUGAAUGUUCACAUGAUUUGGGGGUUGUAAUGGCUGAUUUGGAUGUUACAUCAUGGCCUUUUGAUGUGAUUGAUUCUGUCCCAAAGCAGAUAGAUGGGUAUGUUUGUGUUAAAUAUAUCUUAUGUAUAUGUAUGUAAUAUUUUUGUGAUUUAAGCUUGCAAUUCAUAUAUGGGUUUCAAAGUCUGUAAGUCCGCAUGUGGUGUAUUUACCUUGAUGUACAUGGCCUAUUGGAAUGGCACAUGUUUGAGGCAUUCAUUCUCAUAAGUAGCAAUAUACUAACUAAUAUCUUAUCGAUACCUGCAACUACAUAUGUCGAUACCUUAACACAUGUUGAUAUUAAUGAUAAUAGGAUGAUGUUCCAUAUCUUUGAACCUAUAUACUAGCUGAAUUGAUUUUAUCAGAAUUCAACAGACAAGAUAAGAUCAAAAAUGAUGUAUUUUAAUUGGUCAACCAUGAUGACAGUUGCGUUUCUCAAGUAGAAUUUUGACUUGGCACCUAUAGGCACAUAUGGGCAAUGUAUCAUGUGAAGGGAAAACUCUCUCUUUUUGGCUCGGCGUUUCUAUACUUACAGUUGGAUGAUGCAGGCUGUAUCAGCAUUAUGUUGUCAGUUGUAACAUUUAUUUUAGUACAGGCUGUAUCAGAUUUACUACUGUUGUUUGGCUGUAAUUUAUGUUGUCAGCUGUAACAUUUAUUUUAGUGGUAAUGCUAUGUAAUAUGACAGAGCUUUCCUUGUGUUUCUGUUUUUGCUUAAAAGAAAGCAAUGUUAUGUAAAACAUAAAAUCAGUUUGGCACAGGAAAUCUGUUUGGCACA